CUCCGGUGAUCCCUGCCGGACCCGACUGCUAUCGGAUUGAGAUUUAGCCAUGCGAGUCGAACGUUCCCCUGUUGCGGGGAGCGUGGCGUACGGCUCAGUAACACGUAGUCAACCUGCCCUGGAGACAAGGACAACCCCGGGAAACUGGGAUUAAUCCUUGAUAGGUCAUCUCAUCUGGAAGGAGAGAUGGCUUAAAGGGGUACGCGGGCUUCUUCCGCGAAUUCGCUCCAGGAUGGGACUGCGUCCGAUCAGGCUGUUGGCGGGGUAAUGGCCCACCAAACCUGUAACCGGUACGGGCCUUGAGAGAGGUGGCCCGGAGAUGGACACUGAGAGAAGGGUCCAGGUCCUACGGGGCGCAGCAGGCGCGAAACCUUCGCAAUGCGCGAAAGCGUGACGAGGUUAAUCCGAGUGACUCCCGCUGAGGGGGUCUUUUGUCAGCUGUAAAUAGGCAGGCGAAUAAGGGGAGGGCAAGCCUGGUGUCAGCCGCCGCGGUAAUACCAGCUCCUCGAGUGGUCGGGGCGAUUAUUGGGCCUAAAGCAUCCGUAGCCGGUUCCGUAGGUCCUCUGUUAAAUCCAACCGCUCAACGGUUGACCUGCAGAGGAUACCGCGGGACUAGGAGGCGGGAGAGGCGGACGGUACUCCGCGUGUAGGGGUAAAAUCCUUUGAUCCGCGGAAGACCACCAGUGGCGAAGGCGGUCCGCCAGAACGCGCUCGACGGUGAGGGAUGAAAGCUGGGGGAGCGAACCGGAUUAGAUACCCGGGUAGUCCCAGCCGUAAACGAUGCUAGCUAGAUGAUUCAUUCGCAAGUCGCGAAUGAAGUGUCGCAGGGAAGCCGUUAAGCUAGCCGCCUGGGGAGUACGGUCGCAAGACUGAAACUUAAAGGAUUGGCGGGGGAGCA
This 898-nucleotide ribosomal RNA is filed under the name uncultured archaeon. RNAcentral describes it as "bacterial SSU rRNA". It matches the Rfam family "Archaeal small subunit ribosomal RNA", at positions 1 to 878 of the family's 1478-position model. The record is from RNAcentral.